This 663-nucleotide long non-coding RNA is filed under the name Phascolarctos cinereus (koala). RNAcentral describes it as "lncRNA (ENSPCIG00000027350.2)". The record is from RNAcentral. Lineage: Eukaryota; Metazoa; Chordata; Mammalia; Diprotodontia; Phascolarctidae.
GGCCCUCCUUAACUCCUCUUGGAUGCUGCCAGUGGAUGUGAAGGGGACUGACUCCGAUUGCUCGACUUCAAAAUAGCCCUAACGUGGUCUGGCAAGAGACAGAGGCUCAAUUCACAGCGAGCACAUCAUGUCUGCAGAUUGCCCACUUUCUCAGGAUUAGCAGGGGAUCUCCCUUCUCUCUCCAGCCAGGAUGAUACCUGGAAUUGGGAACCUUACCCAGGACACCCUCUGGUGCUUCAGCCAAGUGAAAGGCACCAUCGACAUUGGAGUCACUGAAGGUCCCACACAGAGGAGGAGCUAUUUCUAUUCUCUCAUAUUGAACACGGGGGUGGAGAAGAGGUACUUUCAAGAAAAUGAUUGCAACCCUCAUCCCAGCUGCAGAUGGGUUUUCUUGCCCCAAUCUAUAUGCCAGAACUGAGCAUCCUUCCUCUUGAAUCUCUUCCAUUUCAACUUGUUCUCCAUGCCCUCAGCAAGUACUCAUUGCCAUGCUGAACAAUGACUGUUGUGAGUAGCUCUGAUUAUUGAGCAGCUGUUAUUUAAAUAUUUAUGGCCAAACUGUUCCAAAAGAGGAUCGGAAGCUGCAGCGGGUGGCUUAAGAAAUACAUAAAAAUCUAUGAGGUAAACUUCUCUACGGGAAGAUCUACAUUUCGGUGUAAGUGCCAG